Gallus gallus (chicken) is the source of this 85-nucleotide microRNA precursor. Lineage: Eukaryota; Metazoa; Chordata; Aves; Galliformes; Phasianidae. The record is from Ensembl.
AUGCUUUCUCCCGUUUCCCUUCUCUGCUUUUUGCUUUCUGUUGGGUAAACUCAGGGGUGGAAGUAGGAGAAUUCAGAGCUAGCAU